Molecule: ribosomal RNA, 300 nt
Filed under: uncultured Acidobacteriota bacterium
Lineage: Bacteria; Pseudomonadati; Acidobacteriota
Description: bacterial SSU rRNA
Rfam family: Bacterial small subunit ribosomal RNA
Source: RNAcentral
CACGUGGGUGACCUGCCUUCGAGCGGGGGAUAACGUCCCGAAAGGGACGCUAAUACCGCAUGACAUCCUGCCUUUGAAGAGGUGGAGAUCAAAGCUAGGGAUCGCAAGACCUGGCACUCGAAGAGGGGCCCGCGCCUGAUUAGCUAGUUGGUGGGGUAAUGGCUCACCAAGGCGACGAUCAGUAUCCGGCCUGAGAGGGCGGACGGACACACUGGGACUGAGACACGGCCCAGACUCCUACGGGAGGCAGCAGUGGGGAAUUGUUCGCAAUGGGCGCAAGCCUGACGACGCAACGCCGCG